AGAGUUUGAUCAUGGCUCAGGACGAACGCUGGCGGCGUGCUUAAUACAUGCAAGUCGAGCGAGGCCUUGGAAUUGGAGUCCUUCGGGAUGAAGAGUCCUUGGCCUAGCGGCGGACGGGUGAGUAACGCGUGGGCAACCUACCCCAAAGUCCGGGAUAACAGUGGGAAACCGCUGCUAAUACCGGAUGGCUUUACCUGAGGGCAUCCUUGGGUAAAGAAAGGUUACGCUUUGGGAUGGGCCCGCGUCCCAUUAGCUAGUUGGUGAGGUAACGGCUCACCAAGGCGACGAUGGGUAGCCGGCCUGAGAGGGUGAACGGCCACACUGGGACUGAGACACGGCCCAGACUCCUACGGGAGGCAGCAGUAGGGAAUAUUGCGCAAUGGGGGGAACCCUGACGCAGCGACGCCGCGUGGGUGAUGAAGGCCUUCGGGUCGUAAAGCCCUGUCUGGGGGGAAGAUAGUGACGGUACCCCCGGAGGAAGCCCCGGCUAACUACGUGCCAGCAGCCGCGGUAAGACGUGGGGGGCAAGCGUUGUCCGGAAUUACUGGGCGUAAAGGGCGUGUAGGCGGCCUGCCAAGUCAGCUGUGAAAUUCCCCGGCUCAACCGGGGGACUGCAGUUGAAACUGGCGGGCUUGAGUGCAGGAGAGGAGGGUGGAAUUCCUGGUGUAGCGGUGAAAUGCGUAGAUAUCAGGAGGAACACCGGUGGCGAAGGCGACCUUCUGGCCUGUUACUGACGCUGAG
This 741-nucleotide ribosomal RNA is filed under the name uncultured bacterium. RNAcentral's name for it is "bacterial SSU rRNA". It matches the Rfam family "Bacterial small subunit ribosomal RNA", at positions 8 to 750 of the family's 1533-position model. The record is from RNAcentral.